GGUUCGGCGUGUCCUCCGAUGCGCGACUGCGGACCAUAUGCUGGUACCGCAGCUGUGCUCAUGGAUCGCCGAGUCCGGACAAAAGACACCUAUUUCGGAUUUUAAAACGGGUUGACGCGGAUUCAGCGCCGUGACGCUGGCAAAGAGGAUAUUUAACAAGUCCGGUUUUUGUUUCUCUCCUGAAACAAUCUCAAUUUCACAUUUUAUUUAAAUAAGUCGCACCGAGAUACCGAUCGGCGCGCCGAUGCUUCACGGUGAAUCAGCCGUUAACGACGCGCACUAAACUUGACGCUUCCAGGUAAUGAACGAAAUGAGCAACGAGCUUUAUCCGGCUUGACAACGGACGGGUUGUCAUCCUGUUUACGGGCGGAUCGAAACUUUUUUAUUUAAGCCUAAAACAUCAACCCGCCAGCCGACAUCCACAGUUUCCCGUGCGCGUAAACAACAUUUAAAAAAAAUUGUUUUCAUUCCACAUGUCAAAAUCCUCUUUUUCUCCGGGCAUCAUUAUAAAGUUCCCAGGUACGCGAGCUUUCAUUGCGCUACCCGGAGAUAUACAGCGCCCCCCCCCCCUUUCAUCCCCCCCUCCCUCGUGCAAUCCGCCACCGGUAUCGCUGCUCCAAGUGUUCCAUAUAUUUGCGGAUGAUUUGGAGUCACGGUGUGCACGGCGUGCUUGUUUUUUUUUUUUGCCUCCUCGCAACUUUUUGUGUGAAUUCAGCCUCAUUAGGGAGAAGACGCAGCGGGUUCCGGACAAUGGAUGAAGCCGUGAGUCCUGUUAUUGUCACCAGGCUCGUCCUUUUUUUCCUCCUCUUUUUUUUUUCUUCUUUUGGCUUCCUCUAUCCGUGCGUCUGCGUCUGUGUGAACGAGUGAGCGCGUGAGCGCGUGCGUGCGUGCGCGCGUGUGCUCGCGCUACGGGAGGUGGGAGGAAUAGAGAAUGUGUAGCUCACCCUUCCGGACGGCCCAUGGAACCACGUGGAUGAGGGCUGAGCUGUAGAGCGGGCAGAAGCCUGCCUGUCGUCGGCCCGGGGCCCGUCGCGCCACCGAGGUCAAGCGCCAAUCGCAGAAAACGGACCGAGACGAGGUCUUUGCUCCCACUCCUCGCUCACCCCCGCCCCCCUUUCCACCCUCCCCCUCCCAC
Molecule: long non-coding RNA, 1135 nt
Organism: Gasterosteus aculeatus aculeatus (three-spined stickleback)
Lineage: Eukaryota; Metazoa; Chordata; Actinopteri; Perciformes; Gasterosteidae
Source: Ensembl